UUUUUUUUUUUUUUUUUUUAAGGGCCACACCCACAACACAUGGAAGAUCCCAGGCCAGGAAUUGAAUCCAAGCUUCAGCUGUGAUCUACACCACAGCUUCAGCAAUGUGAGAUUCUUAAACCACUAUGCUGGCCUGGGGAUUGAACUUACACCUAUGCAGUGACCUGAGACACAGCACAGUCAGAUUUUUAACACAAUGAGCCACAGUGGGAACCCCUAGGAAUCUGCACUUUUAAAUAAGCAUCCCAGAUAACUCUAAGUAGUCUGAGAAACUUUACAUGUGGAAGAUCAACACUGUCCAGGAAAAACUGUGUGUGCUGUAUGAAGAGUAACAGUAUAUAUAACAGAAUAGCAAGGAUAUUUCUAAACUCAUAAUUUGGGGGGCACAACAAUUUAAUUUGAUUAAUCAGUUUAUAAGUAAUGUUCUUACAAACUGUUAACUCUUUUAAAAUUAGUUUGGAUUUAAUUCUAUCCGUGAUAUAGAGAGAACUUGAAACAUUUAAUUCUGCAUGUUCUAAAAAUGGCCUUGAAAGAUGCUAAAAUUAUAAAUAAUGAUUUAAUUAUAGGAAAUGACUGAGAAUCUGAAAUUUAUAUGAGAAAGAUAGAAAGCAAGAAAUAGGCUUUUUGCUGCAACACUCAGUGCUAAAUGGAAGAAACAGAAGUUCUAAACUUUAAACAAAUUUAAGGAGAGCAUGACAAGAUUAAUAUUCAGUUCAUGGGUGUUUCUGUAACUUUCUAAAGUAGUAAGAGGUAAGAAAACAGGUAAGAAAAAUGAAAGGAAAUAUUAAACUUGGCUCUUCUUACUUCAAAUCCUCAAGUCUAAAAAAAAGCUUAAGAAACACAAUUUUAAUGUAAUUAUGUCUUGGUGGAAAACCAGAGACAACCUGGUGGGGGGUUGAGGUGGGGGGAUAGGAGGCCCCAGGCUCUAUACUUUUAAACCAUUCCUUCAUUUUUGUUGAAUUACACAUCUUUUAUUUCUAAUAUGUAUUUGUUGUGAAGAAAAGAGGGCCAAGUUUUCGGCUGAGGGCUUAUUCCUCUUCCUCAGAAUGCAAGAAAAACACAGAAAGAGGAAAAUUAUGACCUAAUGCAAAAUUUCCUUCAAGGCAACUAUGUUUAUUUCAUGGUAGGAAGCAGCUGACAACGAGGUUUGAGUUGCAGGAGAGAAGCAUAUUUGUCUCCCAGCCAAGUGGCUUUAAAUGCCUCUAUCAUCAAAGGAGGAACCAAGCUGCACCUCACAUCUAUGUAACUUAAGCAUAAAGAGGCAAGAAACUUCUCACACAUUAAUUGUCUUCAGUGGAGUUUUCAAAUGAUUAAGCAGUUUGCCUUUAAUGAACAUUUUCAUAGGUUGUCAUUAAGUGUUUUUGUUCUAGAGGAAAGAAUGCACUGUUACUCUGAUAUUAACAUUAUUGCUCUUCCCCCCAACAGAAUCAAGGGUUACUUUGUAUAAACAGAUUUCUAGAACCUUAGGUCUUAUCUGGUAUAAAUAUAAAUUUAAAAAGUUAAUACCGAUUAAUAUCAAAUUUCUUGACAACUUGUAUAUCUGAAUGUGGGUGAAAUACUAUUAUGUCCUUUUUAUUGCAAAACACAAACUUUAAAUUAGCUAUUUACACAAAGAUACAGUGUCACACCACUCUGAGGAAUAAUUGUAUAACAUAAUGCCAGUAAUAUGUUCUUUUAAACAUUUUUUUAAAAUUAAAGUAUAGUUGGUUUAAAUGUUGUGCCAAUUUCUGCUGUACAGAAAAAGUAAUAUGUUCCUUACUGAGGACUUUUAGGAAAGAUAAUUUUGAGAAAAAUGAGUCAGCUUUUUAAAAUGGCUUUUUGUAUGAUUAAAUUCUAUUGAUAUAUUUAAAAAAUUUUUAACAGUAAGUAGCAUUUCCCUCCGUUUAAUGUUAUCACUACAUUACCACCUU
This 1910-nucleotide long non-coding RNA is filed under the name Sus scrofa (pig). Its description in RNAcentral is "lncRNA (ENSSSCG00025030292.1)". The record is from RNAcentral. Lineage: Eukaryota; Metazoa; Chordata; Mammalia; Artiodactyla; Suidae.